RNAcentral lists this unclassified non-coding RNA (244 nucleotides) under Neophaeothecoidea sp. RNAcentral's name for it is "partial contains 5.8S ribosomal RNA, internal transcribed spacer 2, and large subunit ribosomal RNA". The stretch from base 1 to 52 matches the Rfam family "5.8S ribosomal RNA", at positions 103 to 154 of the family's 154-position model. Lineage: Eukaryota; Fungi; Ascomycota; Dothideomycetes; Mycosphaerellales; Teratosphaeriaceae. RNAcentral also lists the same sequence under 1 other name. The record is from RNAcentral.
AACGCACAUUGCGCCCCCUGGUAUUCCGGGGGGCAUGCCUGUUCGAGCGUCAUUACACCACUCAAGCCUGGCUUGGUAUUGGGCGCCGCGCCCGUUCGCGCGCCUCAAUGUUCUCCGGCUGAGCCGUCCGUCUCCAAGCGUUGUGGCACUUUAUGUUUCCGCUUCGGGGCACGGGGGGUUCGCGCCGUUAAAUCAUUUUCACAAGGUUGACCUCGGAUCAGGUAGGGAUACCCGCUGAACUUAA